Molecule: non-coding RNA, 191 nt
Filed under: Rhizobium sp.
Lineage: Bacteria; Pseudomonadati; Pseudomonadota; Alphaproteobacteria; Hyphomicrobiales; Rhizobiaceae
Source: RNAcentral
GCCAUAGAUCACCCGUCAGGUGCCCGCUUUCAUAAGCGGGAGAAUCGGGAAUCCGGUGCAAGACCGGAACGUGCCCAACGCUGUAAGGCCGACGCUUGCCGCAUAGAAUGCCACUGGCCGCAAGGCCGGGAAGGCUGCGGCCAAGCGGAUGACGCCAAAGUCAGAAGACCGGCCUGGCAAGAUAGACCCAA